AUUGAACGCUGGCGGCAUGCCUUACACAUGCAAGUCGAACGGUAACAGGUCUUCGGAUGCUGACGAGUGGCGAACGGGUGAGUAAUAUAUCGGAACGUGCCCAGUUGUGGGGGAUAACUACUCGAAAGAGUGGCUAAUACCGCAUACGACCUGAGGGUGAAAGCGGGGGAUCGCAAGACCUCGCGCAAUUGGAGCGGCCGAUAUCAGAUUAGGUAGUUGGUGGGGUAAAGGCCCACCAAGCCGACGAUCUGUAGCUGGUCUGAGAGGACGACCAGCCACACUGGGACUGAGACACGGCCCAGACUCCUACGGGAGGCAGCAGUGGGGAAUUUUGGACAAUGGACGCAAGUCUGAUCCAGCCAUGCCGCGUGCGGGAAGAAGGCC
This 384-nucleotide ribosomal RNA is filed under the name uncultured bacterium. Its description in RNAcentral is "bacterial SSU rRNA". It matches the Rfam family "Bacterial small subunit ribosomal RNA", at positions 30 to 416 of the family's 1533-position model. The record is from RNAcentral.